AGGUCUAUAGCUCAGUUGGUUAGAGCGCUACACUGAUAAUGUAGAGGUCUGCAGUUCGAGUCUGCGUAGACCUA
Bernardetia litoralis DSM 6794 is the source of this 74-nucleotide transfer RNA. It matches the Rfam family "tRNA". Rfam says of the family: Transfer RNA (tRNA) molecules are approximately 80 nucleotides in length. Their secondary structure includes four short double-helical elements and three loops (D, anti-codon, and T loops). The record is from Rfam. NCBI's taxonomy places the organism in Bacteria, Pseudomonadati, Bacteroidota, Cytophagia, Cytophagales, Bernardetiaceae.